Molecule: ribosomal RNA, 253 nt
Filed under: uncultured bacterium
Lineage: Bacteria
Description: partial 16S ribosomal RNA
Rfam family: Bacterial small subunit ribosomal RNA
Source: RNAcentral
UACGUAGGUGGCAAGCGUUGUCCGGAUUUACUGGGCGUAAAGAGCGCGCAGGCGGUCGUUCAAGUCGCGUGUGAAAGCCCCCGGCUCAACUGGGAGAGGUCCUUGGAUACUGGCGAACUUGAGGGAUGCAGAGGAAAGUGGAAUUCCCGGUGUAGUGGUGAUAUGCGUAGAUAUCGGGAGGAACACCAGUGGCGAAGGCGGCUUUCUGGGCAUUUCCUGACGCUGAGACGCGAAAGCGUGGGGAGCGAACCGG